AGCAGUGGGNAAUAUUGCACAAUGGGCGCAANCCUGAUGCAGCGACGCCGCGUGAGGGAUGACGNNNUUCGGGUUGUAAACCUCUUUNAGCAGGGAAGAAGCGCAAGUGNCGGUACCUGCAGAAGAAGCNCCGGCUAACUACGUNCCAGCAGCCGCGGUAAUACGUAGGGUGCGAGCGUUGUCCGGAAUUAUUGGGCGUAAAGAGCUNGUAGGCGGCUUNUCGCGUCGGAUGUGAAAGCCCGGGGCUUAACCCCGGGUNUGCAUUCGAUACGGGCAGGCUAGAGUUCGNCAGGGGAGAUUGGAAUUCCUGGUGUAGCGGUNAAAUGCGCAGAUAUCAGGAGGAACACCGGUGGCGAAGGCGG
RNAcentral lists this ribosomal RNA (362 nucleotides) under Streptomyces albus. RNAcentral describes it as "partial 16S ribosomal RNA". It matches the Rfam family "Bacterial small subunit ribosomal RNA", at positions 350 to 724 of the family's 1533-position model. The record is from RNAcentral. Lineage: Bacteria; Bacillati; Actinomycetota; Actinomycetes; Kitasatosporales; Streptomycetaceae.